GAAAAAUCUGAGGUCUUGUCAAAGAAGAUCCUGGACUCGAUAAGAAAUUAGUGGAGGUGACACUGGCAGGGGCAGUGGGAGAUCUGAGUUAACUCCUUGUUCUGCUCCAGACAUUCAAAACAUCCUGGACAGGCCAUUUUAUGUCAGCUUCCUGUAUGAAACAGGAUCAUAAGAACAAUUUUAGGCCUGCCAUACUGCCAUCAUUCUAUAGCAUGGCAUAGUGCACUGACGACCGUGGUGAUGGGGGACACAUCAGUGGAAAUAUAUCACGGGAAUGUGAGAUUUCUGCUGCCCUUUGAUAGUGCCAGAAUAUCUUUACACACGGAGCCAUCAGAUUCAGAAGACAGUAAAUGAAGUGCCUUUCUUUCAUGAAGACACAAAACCCCACUGCUUCUUUCAUAAAUCACAUUCAGAAGGGACAUACGUACAUGCCUUAAAGUCUGAAAUUACAGUUUUAGAAAGCUCAUGACUGAAGAAAUACUAAUAUUGGAUUUUCUUUUUCCUCACAAAACCAAUGUUGCUUUAUUUGCUACGGAAAGAUAAGGUUUCUUCAAACACGUAAGUUAAU
Long non-coding RNA from Anas platyrhynchos (mallard), 568 nucleotides. RefSeq lists it as uncharacterized. The record is from RefSeq and is a predicted model, not a curated record. NCBI's taxonomy places the organism in Eukaryota, Metazoa, Chordata, Aves, Anseriformes, Anatidae.